This 274-nucleotide ribosomal RNA is filed under the name uncultured bacterium. Its description in RNAcentral is "partial 16S ribosomal RNA". It matches the Rfam family "Bacterial small subunit ribosomal RNA", at positions 523 to 796 of the family's 1533-position model. The record is from RNAcentral.
AUACGGAGGGUGCAAGCGUUACUCGGAAUCACUGGGCGUAAAGCGCGCGCAGGCGGGUAUUUAAGUUGGAUGUGAAAGCCUACGGCUCAACCGUAGAACUGCAUCCAAAACUAUUUAGCUAGAGUGUGGGAGAGGAAGAUGGAAUUAGUUGUGUAGGGGUAAAAUCCGUAGAGAUAACUAGGAAUACCAAAAGCGAAGGCAAUCUUCUGGAACACUACUGACGCUGAGGCGCGAAAGCGUUGGGAGCAAACAGGAUUAGAAACCCUAGUAGUCC